This 253-nucleotide ribosomal RNA is filed under the name uncultured bacterium. RNAcentral's name for it is "partial 16S ribosomal RNA". It matches the Rfam family "Bacterial small subunit ribosomal RNA", at positions 524 to 776 of the family's 1533-position model. The record is from RNAcentral.
UACGAAGGGAGCUAGCGUUGUUCGGAAUCACUGGGCGUAAAGCGCACGUAGGCGGAUUUGUCAGUCGGGGGUGAAAUCCCGAGGCUCAACCUCGGAGCCGCCUCCGAUACAGCAAAUCUCGAGUCCGGGAGAGGUGGGUGGAAUUCCUAGUGUAGAGGUGAAAAUCGUAGAUAUUAGGAAGAACACCAGUGGCGAAGGCGGCCCACUGGCCCGGUACUGACGCUGAGGUGCGAAAGCGUGGGGAGCAAACAGG